Molecule: ribosomal RNA, 408 nt
Filed under: uncultured bacterium
Lineage: Bacteria
Description: partial 16S ribosomal RNA
Rfam family: Bacterial small subunit ribosomal RNA
Source: RNAcentral
GACGAACGCUGGCGGCGUGCUUAACACAUGCAAGUCGAACGAAGUGGCGAACGGGUGAGUAACGCGUAAUAAACCUGCCCUUCAGAGGGGGACAACAGUUGGAAACGACUGCUAAUACCGCAUAAUGAAGGAGGGGAUUGCGUCUGAGUAGCUAGUUGGAGGGGUAACGGCCCACCAAGGCGAUGAUCAGUAGCCGUGCUGAGAGGAUGAACGGCCACAUUGGGACUGAGACACGGCCCAGACUCCUACGGGAGGCAGCAGUUGGGAAUCUUCCGCAAUGGACGAAAGUCUGACGGAGCAACGCCGCGUGAGUGAUGACGGCCUUCGGGUUGUAAAGGUAUGUUAAUCGGGACGCGGUACCGGAAUAGAAAGCCACGGCUAACUACGUGCCAGCAGCCGCGGUAAUUC